CAGCAGCCGCGGGAACACGUAGGGUGCGAGCGUUAAUCGGAAUUACUGGGCGUAAAGCGUGCGCAGGCGGUUCGUUAAGACAGAUGUGAAAUCCCCGGGCUUAGCCUGGGAACUGCAUUUGUGACUGGCGAGCUAGAGUAUGGCAGAGGGGGGUAGAAUUCCACGUGUAGCAGUGAAAUGCGUAGAGAUGUGGAGGAAUACCGAUGGCGAAGGCAGCCCCCUGGGCCAAUACUGACGCUCAUGCACGAAAGCGUGGGGAGCAAACAGGAUUAGAUACCCCUGUAGUCCCUGUCUCUUAUAC
This 301-nucleotide ribosomal RNA is filed under the name uncultured bacterium. Its description in RNAcentral is "partial 16S ribosomal RNA". It matches the Rfam family "Bacterial small subunit ribosomal RNA", at positions 509 to 807 of the family's 1533-position model. The record is from RNAcentral.